RNAcentral lists this ribosomal RNA (651 nucleotides) under Peziza martinii. Its description in RNAcentral is "partial large subunit ribosomal RNA". It matches the Rfam family "Eukaryotic large subunit ribosomal RNA", at positions 55 to 719 of the family's 3401-position model. Lineage: Eukaryota; Fungi; Ascomycota; Pezizomycetes; Pezizales; Pezizaceae. The record is from RNAcentral.
GGAAAAGAAACCAACAGGGAUUGCCUUAGUAACGGCGAGUGAAGCGGCAAAAGCUCAGAUUUGAAAUCUGGCGUCUCAUGGCGUCCGAGUUGUAAUCUGUAGAGGAGUGUUCGAGUGUGGAUUUGGCUUAAGUUCCUUGGAACAGGGCGUCAUAGAGGGUGAGAACCCCGUUAGCGGCCUAUGUCUUAUGCUCAUGUGAACCUUCUUCGACGAGUCGAGUUGUUUGGGAAUGCAGCUCUAAAUUGGUGGUAAAUUCCAUCUAAAGCUAAAUACUGGCAAGAGACCGAUAGCGCACAAGUAGAGUGAUCGAAAGAUGAAAAGAACUCUGAACAGAGAGUUAAAUAGUACGUGAAAUUGUUGAAAGGGAAGCACUUGCUACCAGACAUGCCUGUAGUUGAUCAGCCUCCAUUCUUGGUGGUGCACUCUUCUAUAGGUGGGUCAGCAUCAGUUACAAUGAUGGGAUAAAGACUUUAGGAAUGUAGCUUCUUUCGGGGAGUGUUAUAGCCUGAGGUGUAAUACUAUUUGAUGUGACUGAGGACCGCGCUUCGGCGAGGAUGCUGGCAUAAUGGUCGUAAGUGACCCGUCUUGAAACACGGACCAAGGAGUCUAACAUCUAUGCGAGUGUUUGGGCGUGAAAACCCUUACGCGUAA